UAGCGCAGUUGGUAGCGCACCUCCAUGGCAUGGAGGGGGUCAGGGGUUCGAAUCCC
Molecule: transfer RNA, 56 nt
Filed under: Janibacter terrae
Lineage: Bacteria; Bacillati; Actinomycetota; Actinomycetes; Micrococcales; Intrasporangiaceae
Description: tRNA-Ala
Rfam family: tRNA
About the family: Transfer RNA (tRNA) molecules are approximately 80 nucleotides in length. Their secondary structure includes four short double-helical elements and three loops (D, anti-codon, and T loops).
Source: RNAcentral